AAGACCUUGCGCUUUUGGAGCGGCCGAUGUCUGAUUAGCUUGUUGGUGAGGUAAAGGCUUACCAAGGCUUCGAUCAGUAGCUGGUCUGAGAGGACGGCCAGCCACACUGGGACUGAGACACGGCCCAGACUCCUACGGGAGGCAGCAGUGGGGAAUUUUGGACAAUGGGGGCAAGCCUGAUCCAGCCAUGCCGCGUGAGUGAAGAAGGCCUUCGGGUUGUAAAGCUCUUUCAGCCGGAACGAAACGGUUACGAUUAAUACCCGUAACUACUGACGGUACCGGAAGAAGAAGCACCGGCUAACUACGUGCCAGCAGCCGCGGUAAUACGUAGGGUGCGAGCGUUAAUCGGAAUUACUGGGCGUAAAGCGUGCGCAGGUGGUUUUGUAAGUCAGAUGUGAAAUCCCCGGGCUUAACCUGGGAACU
Molecule: ribosomal RNA, 423 nt
Filed under: uncultured bacterium
Lineage: Bacteria
Description: bacterial SSU rRNA
Rfam family: Bacterial small subunit ribosomal RNA
Source: RNAcentral